RNAcentral lists this unclassified non-coding RNA (360 nucleotides) under soil metagenome. RNAcentral's name for it is "partial contains 5.8S ribosomal RNA, internal transcribed spacer 2, and large subunit ribosomal RNA". The stretch from base 1 to 120 matches the Rfam family "5.8S ribosomal RNA", at positions 35 to 154 of the family's 154-position model. The record is from RNAcentral.
GAUGAAGAACGUAGCGAAAUGCGAUAAGUAAUGCGAAUUGCAGAAUUCAGUGAAUCAUCGAAUCUUUGAACGCACAUUGCGCCCGCCAGUAUUCUGGCGGGCAUGCCUGUCUGAGCGUCGUUUCGACCCUCGCGCCCGGCUUCUGUCGGGGGCGGUGUUGGGGAUCGGCCACACCCUUCAGUGGGAGGCCGGCCCCUAAAUUCAGUGGCGACCACGCUGUAGCCUCCCCUGCGUAGUACUAAAACCACCUCGCAGGCGGAGAGCGGUGCGGCCCGCCGUAAAACCCCCCAACUUUUACAGGGUCGACCUCAGAUCAGGUAGGAAUACCCGCUGAACUUAAGCAUAUCAAUAAGCGGAGGA